UACGUAGGGUGCGAGCGUUGUCCGGAAUUACUGGGCGUAAAGAGCUCGUAGGCGGUUUGUCGCGUCGUCCGUGAAAACUUGGGGCUCAACCCCAAGCUUGCGGGCGAUACGGGCAGACUUGAGUACUGCAGGGGAGACUGGAAUUCCUGGUGUAGCGGUGAAAUGCGCAGAUAUCGGGAGGAACACCUGUGGCGAAGGCGGCCCCCUGGUUGGAUACUGACGCUGAUACGCGAAAGCGUGGGGAGCAAACAGG
RNAcentral lists this ribosomal RNA (253 nucleotides) under uncultured bacterium. RNAcentral describes it as "partial 16S ribosomal RNA". It matches the Rfam family "Bacterial small subunit ribosomal RNA", at positions 524 to 776 of the family's 1533-position model. The record is from RNAcentral.